CCGCCGGCCGGACCGGCCGGCACGGUGGAGGUAACACGUAUGCAACCUGGCCGUGACAGAUGGAUAACCGGGAGAAAUCCCGCCUAAUACAACAUAAUGCCGGGAGGGGACAUCCCCUGCCGGCCAAAGGGGCGACCCCGGUCACGGAUGGGCAUGCGGCGCAUUAGGUAGUUGGUGGGGCAACGGCCCACCAAGCCGACGAUGCGUAGGGGUUCUGAGAGGAAGGUCCCCCACAUUGGAACUGAGACACGGUCCAAACUCCUACGGAAGGCAGCAG
Molecule: ribosomal RNA, 277 nt
Filed under: uncultured bacterium
Lineage: Bacteria
Description: partial 16S ribosomal RNA
Rfam family: Bacterial small subunit ribosomal RNA
Source: RNAcentral